CCCUUAGAUGUCCUGGGCCGCACGCGCGUUUCACUGAUGCAUUCAACGAGCUUAUAACCUUGGCCGAGAGGCCUGGGCAAUCUUGUUAACGUGCAUCGUGAUAGGGAUAGAUUAUUGAAAUUAUUAAUCUUGAACGAGGAAUUCCUAGUAAACGCAGAUCAUCAAUCUGCAUUGAUUACGUCCCUGCCCUUUGUACACACCGCCCGUCGCACCUACCGAUUGGAUGGUCCGGUGAAGCCUCGGGAUUGUGGUUCUUGCCGCUUUAUUGUGGCGUGACCGCGAGAACUUGUCUAAACCUUAUCAUCUAGAGGAAGGUGAAGUCGUAACA
Molecule: ribosomal RNA, 328 nt
Filed under: uncultured eukaryote
Lineage: Eukaryota
Description: partial 18S ribosomal RNA
Rfam family: Eukaryotic small subunit ribosomal RNA
Source: RNAcentral